GACGAACGCUGGCGGCGUGCUUAACACAUGCAAGUCGAACGGAAAGGCCCUGCUUUUGUGGGGUGCUCGAGUGGCGAACGGGUGAGUAACACGUGAGUAACCUGCCCUUGACUUUGGGAUAACUUCAGGAAACUGGGGCUAAUACCGGAUAGGAGCUCCUGCUGCAUGGUGGGGGUUGGAAAUUUUCGGCGGUUGGGGAUGGACUCGCGGCUUAUCAGCUUGUUGGUGGGGUAGUGGCUUACCAAGGCUUUGACGGGUAGCCGGCCUGAGAGGGUGACCGGCCACAUUGGGACUGAGAUACGGCCCAGACUCCUACGGGAGGCAGCAGUGGGGAAUAUUGCACAAUGGGCGGAAUCCUGAUGCAGCAACGCCGCGUGCGGGAUGACGGCCUUCGGGUUGUAAACCGCUUUCGCCUGUGACGAAGCGUGAGUGACGGUAAUGGGUAAAGAAGCACCGGCUAACUACGUG
Molecule: ribosomal RNA, 468 nt
Filed under: uncultured bacterium
Lineage: Bacteria
Description: partial 16S ribosomal RNA
Rfam family: Bacterial small subunit ribosomal RNA
Source: RNAcentral